CCUACGGGUGGCAGCAGUGAGGAAUAUUGGUCAAUGGGCGCGAGCCUGAACCAGCCAAGUAGCGUGAAGGAUGACUGCCCUACGGGUUGUAAACUUCUUUUAUAAAGGAAUAAAGUGAGGCACGUGUGCCUUUUUGUAUGUACUUUAUGAAUAAGGAUCGGCUAACUCCGUACCAUCAGCCGCGGUAAUACGGAGGAUCCGAGCGUUAUCCGGAUUUAUUGGGUUUAAAGGUAGCGUAGAUGGGUUGUUAAGUCAGUUGUGAAAGUUUGCGGCUCAACCGUAAAAUUGCAAUUGAUACUGGCAGUCUUGAGUACAGUUGAGGUAGGCGGAAUUCGUGGUGUAGCGGUGAAAUGCUUAGAUAUCACGAAGAACUCCGAUUGCGAAGGCAGCUUACUAAACUGCCACUGACAUUGAUGCUCGAAAGUGUGGGUAUCAAACAGGAUUAGAUACCCCAGUAGUC
Molecule: ribosomal RNA, 460 nt
Filed under: uncultured bacterium
Lineage: Bacteria
Description: partial 16S ribosomal RNA
Rfam family: Bacterial small subunit ribosomal RNA
Source: RNAcentral